GAUGAACGCUGGCGGCGUGCCUAAUACAUGCAAGUCGAGCGAACAGACGAGGAGCUUGCUCCUCUGACGUUAGCGGCGGACGGGUGAGUAACACGUGGAUAACCUACCUAUAAGACUGGGAUAACUUCGGGAAACCGGAGCUAAUACCGGAUAAUAUAUUGAACCGCAUGGUUCAAUAGUGAAAGACGGUUUUGCUGUCACUUAUAGAUGGAUCCGCGCCGCAUUAGCUAGUUGGUAAGGUAACGGCUUACCAAGGCGACGAUGCGUAGCCGACCUGAGAGGGUGAUCGGCCACACUGGAACGGAGACACGGUCCAGACUCCUACGGGAGGCAGCAGUAGGGAAUCUUCCGCAAUGGGCGAAAGCCUGACGGAGCAACGCCGCGUGAGUGAUGAAGGUCUUCGGAUCGUAAAACUCUGUUAUUAGGGAAGAACAAAUGGGUAAGUAACUAUGCACGUCUUGACGGUACCUAAUCAGAAAGCCACGGCUAACUACGUG
Molecule: ribosomal RNA, 497 nt
Filed under: uncultured bacterium
Lineage: Bacteria
Description: partial 16S ribosomal RNA
Rfam family: Bacterial small subunit ribosomal RNA
Source: RNAcentral